Small nucleolar RNA from Balaenoptera musculus (blue whale), 129 nucleotides. The record is from Ensembl. Lineage: Eukaryota; Metazoa; Chordata; Mammalia; Artiodactyla; Balaenopteridae.
AUGCACAUUUUACUGACUUGCUUUCCCUUGCAUAUAUGAGCAGUGUUAUUUCUUAUGUGCUAUACAAAAGUUGAAGGUUAAUUAGCAGUAUAACUAAAUAGUAACACUGCUAGUCUCCUUCACACAAAU